This 72-nucleotide transfer RNA is filed under the name Camelus bactrianus (Bactrian camel). It matches the Rfam family "tRNA". Rfam says of the family: Transfer RNA (tRNA) molecules are approximately 80 nucleotides in length. Their secondary structure includes four short double-helical elements and three loops (D, anti-codon, and T loops). Further hydrogen bonds mediate the characteristic L-shaped molecular structure. tRNAs have two regions of fundamental functional importance: the anti-codon, which is responsible for specific mRNA codon recognition, and the 3' end, to which the tRNAs corresponding amino acid is attached (by aminoacyl-tRNA synthetases). tRNAs cope with the degeneracy of the genetic code in two manners: having more than one tRNA (with a specific anti-codon) for a particular amino acid; and 'wobble' base-pairing, i.e. permitting non-standard base-pairing at the 3rd anti-codon position. Lineage: Eukaryota; Metazoa; Chordata; Mammalia; Artiodactyla; Camelidae. RNAcentral also lists the same sequence under 2 other names. The record is from Rfam by way of RNAcentral.
AAGGGUAUAGCUUAGUGGUAGAGUGCAUGCUUAGCAUGCACAAGGUCCUGGGUUCAAUCCACAGUACCUCCA